Xylariaceae sp. FL1272 is the source of this 96-nucleotide non-coding RNA. NCBI's taxonomy places the organism in Eukaryota, Fungi, Ascomycota, Sordariomycetes, Xylariales, Xylariaceae. The record is from the annotation of a GenBank genome assembly.
GGUCGGUUAGCUCAGUCGGUAGAGCAUCGCAAUUACAUCAAUCGCUCAAUGUGAGAAGUACUGCGAAGGCCAUAGGUUCAAGCCCUAUACUGACCA